AAUAUGGUGAAGAGGAUUAGGAAUGAUGAUUCUAAGUAUAAUUUCAUUUGUUUUUGCUGCAAAUUUUUUUUUGUUUUCAAAAUUUGAGCGUUUUUGUUGUUGUAAUUGUAAUGUAGCCCGAAGUCGAAGAAGGUGAAGAGUCUUGGAUCUUCAGGAAAAAUUUUGGCAGUGUCUACUGCUGGGAAGAAGAAAGAGAAAGAUGGUGAUUAUGAUCCAAGAUGUGAUAAAUCCUUGUCUAAGAAGAAAGGCAAAUCUGAUUUAUCACCAAUCAAGUUUUCAUUUUCAAGAUCUAAUCCCGAUCAACAGAAAGACACAUUUGAUAGAUCGAAUUUCACUGAGCAAGAAAUAAAGUCAAUUAAUCUACAAGUAUUGUCAGACUAUUCCCAUUUAAAUG
This is a long non-coding RNA of Beta vulgaris subsp. vulgaris (sugar beet), 394 nucleotides long. RefSeq lists it as uncharacterized. The transcript is spliced from 3 exons. The record is from RefSeq and is a predicted model, not a curated record. Lineage: Eukaryota; Viridiplantae; Streptophyta; Magnoliopsida; Caryophyllales; Amaranthaceae.